AAAAAUGAUUUUAUUGUCGAUAAUUUGAAGAAAUGACGUAAGAGACUGAGUGUUUAGAAAACUAUUUACGAUUAGUAAAUGUUACUCCCCCCUCGCGCGGCCAGUUUUUAUAUUCCAAUGUUGUCAGAGAUCUCAUCGUCGCAUUUGUAUACACAUUAACAUUCAUUGAUUUGACUUUGGUCUAGUAUACUGCGUAGUUUGUUACCUUCAUAGUUAUUGUCAGUCUUCUUCGAGCGUCGCGAGACGUAGGACCGAUAUUAGAAAAGUAUGAUGAAUUCAUUCGCGUAUACGUCGCGUGUUUUGUUGCUAUGCAAAUAAUAUGCAUAUGUGCGUGAGUGUGUGCGUGUACUAGUGACGAGUGGUGACUCGCAUACGUGUGUAUAUAUAUUAACAUCGUGUAUAUAAGAUAAAAUACAUCUAACGCGAUUAAUUAUUGAAAUUUUUAUUAUUUAUUAUAUAAUUAGAGUAUCGUUGUGCUGAUGCAGUGUUGUUGAUGGUGUAGUGUAGUGUUGUAUCUAGUGAGAGGAUAAGUGAGAUAAAAAAAUGGAUAAUCUAUCAAACAGGAAUACAUCUCAGCACGUUUUAAUACGUCUGGUCAGAAGCUGAGAAGAAUGACGAUUGAUAAUAGAAGGGAAAAAAUAUGACCGAGUUAAAGAAAAAAGGAAGAAACAAGAUGACGACAACGUCAUCGGUAAGAGGGGUCAGAGAGAUAAAGAGAGAAAAUGAGAUUGUAGGGUUGACCGUCGUCAACUGUACCAUAAUACCUGAAGUGGUAUUAUAAGAAUAGCCAGGAGUCUGUGCUCGUCGUUGGUGUCGUUUCUAGUAGCUCAGACUACUGCUUCCACGCGAAAAUAAGGCGAGCAAGAAGGAAGGAAGGAAGGAAGGAAGGAAAGAAGAAACAAGUCGAGUCAAAAACUUCUUUCGGAGUUUCUCGAAGAAUAUCGCUUAUGGCUUAUUCGAUCGUGAAAAUACAUCGGAGUCGUGUGACAUCGAUCGACUUUUUUCUAUGAUUGAUCGUUAGAAAGAAGAAAUCAAUUGUUCGGAAGAAAAAGGGGAAAGAUCAUACGAGCAAUAAAAAAAAAGUAAUUCACUUGUGGAAAUUUGUUCAACGAGUUUUAUCGACAGUAUCCACUAACCAGAAUCCUUCAACGUGUCUACCUCAUUGUCGGAAAAGUACUUUUUUCGAAACACACGUAGUUCAUGCAUUGGUAUCCCUUUUCGCGUGAUGAGAUCGAGGAAGGAGCCAACGAAAACGGACAGUUG
RNAcentral lists this long non-coding RNA (1263 nucleotides) under Polistes fuscatus (common paper wasp). Its description in RNAcentral is "uncharacterized LOC122520159, transcript variant X1". The record is from RNAcentral. Lineage: Eukaryota; Metazoa; Arthropoda; Insecta; Hymenoptera; Vespidae.